This 1361-nucleotide ribosomal RNA is filed under the name uncultured bacterium. RNAcentral's name for it is "bacterial SSU rRNA". It matches the Rfam family "Bacterial small subunit ribosomal RNA", at positions 28 to 1381 of the family's 1533-position model. The record is from RNAcentral.
AUUGAACGCUGGCGGCAGGCCUAACACAUGCAAGUCGAGCGGUAGCACAGAGAGCUUGCUCUCGGGUGACGAGCGGCGGACGGGUGAGUAAUGUCUGGGAAACUGCCUGAUGGAGGGGGAUAACUACUGGAAACGGUAGCUAAUACCGCAUAACGUCGCAAGACCAAAGUGGGGGACCUUCGGGCCUCAUGCCAUCAGAUGUGCCCAGAUGGGAUUAGCUAGUAGGUGGGGUAACGGCUCACCUAGGCGACGAUCCCUAGCUGGUCUGAGAGGAUGACCAGCCACACUGGAACUGAGACACGGUCCAGACUCCUACGGGAGGCAGCAGUGGGGAAUAUUGCACAAUGGGCGCAAGCCUGAUGCAGCCAUGCCGCGUGUGUGAAGAAGGCCUUCGGGCUGUAAAGCACUUUCAGCGGGGAAGAAGGCGGUGAGGUUAAUAACCUUGUCGAUUGACGUUACCCGCAGAAGAAGCACCGGCUAACUCCGUGCCAGCAGCCGCGGUAAUACGGAGGGUGCAAGCGUUAAUCGGAAUUACUGGGCGUAAAGCGCACGCAGGCGGUCUGUCAAGUCGGAUGUGAAAUCCCCGGGCUCAACCUGGGAACUGCAUUCGAAACUGGCAGGCUAGAGUCUUGUAGAGGGGGGUAGAAUUCCAGGUGUAGCGGUGAAAUGCGUAGAGAUCUGGAGGAAUACCGGUGGCGAAGGCGGCCCCCUGGACAAAGACUGACGCUCAGGUGCGAAAGCGUGGGGAGCAAACAGGAUUAGAUACCCUGGUAGUCCACGCCGUAAACGAUGUCGAUUUGGAGGUUGUGCCCUUGAGGCGUGGCUUCCGGAGCUAACGCGUUAAAUCGACCGCCUGGGGAGUACGGCCGCAAGGUUAAAACUCAAAUGAAUUGACGGGGGCCCGCACAAGCGGUGGAGCAUGUGGUUUAAUUCGAUGCAACGCGAAGAACCUUACCUGGUCUUGACAUCCACAGAACUUUCCAGAGGUGGAUUGGUGCCUUCGGGAACUGUGAGACAGGUGCUGCAUGGCUGUCGUCAGCUCGUGAUGUGAAAUGUUGGGUUAAGUCCCGCAACGAGCGCAACCCUUAUCCUUUGUUGCCAGCGGUUAGGCCGGGAACUCAAAGGAGACUGCCAGUGAUAAACUGGAGGAAGGUGGGGAUGACGUCAAGUCAUCAUGGCCCUUACGACCAGGGCUACACACGUGCUACAAUGGCAUAUACAAAGAGAAGCGACCUCGCGAGAGCAAGCGGACCUCAUAAAGUAUGUCGUAGUCCGGAUUGGAGUCUGCAACUCGACUCCAUGAAGUCGGAAUCGCUAGUAAUCGUAGAUCAGAAUGCUACGGUGAAUACGUUCCCGGGCCU